UACGUAGGGGGCAAGCGUGGUCCGGAAUCAUUGGGCGUAAAGAGCGCGCAGGCGGUCGUUCAAGUCGCGUGUGAAAGCCCCCGGCUCAACUGGGGAGGGUCACUCGAUACUGAUCGACUUGAAGGCAGGAGAGGGAAGCGGAAUUCCCGGUGUAGUGGUGAAAUGCGUAGAUAUCGGGAGGAACACCAGUGGCGAAGGCGGCUUCCUGGCCUGUUCUUGACGCUGAGGCGCGAAAGCUAGGGGAGCAAACGGG
RNAcentral lists this ribosomal RNA (253 nucleotides) under uncultured bacterium. RNAcentral's name for it is "partial 16S ribosomal RNA". It matches the Rfam family "Bacterial small subunit ribosomal RNA", at positions 524 to 776 of the family's 1533-position model. The record is from RNAcentral.